This 402-nucleotide long non-coding RNA is filed under the name Callithrix jacchus (white-tufted-ear marmoset). RNAcentral describes it as "lncRNA (ENSCJAG00000084033.1)". The record is from RNAcentral. Lineage: Eukaryota; Metazoa; Chordata; Mammalia; Primates; Cebidae.
CUUAUAAAAUUUUUAUGGGAUUGGAUGGAUGUCCGCCUCAUUCCUUCUUUUAUUUUUAAAGAAUGUCUUUUUGUCACUUCCAGCUGGAUCUACCAUGAAAGACAUCAGAGUUCAGGAGGAGACUGGGCAUCAUGUUACUCAGGUCUUCCUUUCGUACACACUGGCGUCUCCAAGACCAUCUGCUUAGUCAUGUCUGCCUCUGAAGAUGCAACUCCUGUUUUGCCGUGGACAUUUUCACCUCAGUUCCUGCCUCACGAUGGCCUCUUCGGGCUCUUCUCCUGCCUCUUAAUGGACACUCAAGUCUCAUCUCCUCUCAUGGUGGCUUUUUCUGCAGUGCACGUGCGUUAUAAUGGCCUCUUGUCGAUCCAGCUCUAUAUGUCUUUGAUUUUCAACUGCAUCUAG